Molecule: ribosomal RNA, 492 nt
Filed under: uncultured bacterium
Lineage: Bacteria
Description: partial 16S ribosomal RNA
Rfam family: Bacterial small subunit ribosomal RNA
Source: RNAcentral
AGUGAACGCUGGCGGUAGGCCUAACACAUGCAAGUCGAACGGCAGCACAGUAAGAGCUUGCUCUUACGGGUGGCGAGUGGCGGACGGGUGAGGAAUACAUCGGAAUCUACUUUUUCGUGGGGGAUAACGUAGGGAAACUUCCGCUAAUACCGCAUACGACCUACGGGUGGAAGCAGGGGUUCUUCGGACCUUGCGCGAUUGAAUGAGCCUAUGUAGGAUUAGCUCGUUGGCGGGGUAAAGGCCCACCAAGGCGACGAUCCGUAGCUGGUCUGAGAGGAUGAUCAGCCACACUGGAACAGAGGCACGGUCCAGACUCCUACGGGAGGCAGCAGUGGGGAAUAUUGGACGAUGGACGCAAGCCUGAUCCAGCCAUACCGCGUGGGUGAAGAAGGCCUUCGGGUUGUAAAGCCCUUUUGUUGGGAAAGAAAAGCAGCAGGUUAAUACCCCGCUGUUCUGACGGUACCCAAAGAAUAAGCACCGGCUAACUUCGUG